Molecule: ribosomal RNA, 497 nt
Filed under: uncultured bacterium
Lineage: Bacteria
Description: partial 16S ribosomal RNA
Rfam family: Bacterial small subunit ribosomal RNA
Source: RNAcentral
GAUGAACGCUGGCGGCGUGCCUAAUACAUGCAAGUCGAGCGAACAGACGAGGAGCUUGCUCCUUCGACGUUAGCGGCGGACGGGUGAGUAACACGUAGGUAACCUACCUAUAAGACUGGGAUAACUUCGGGAAACCGGAGCUAAUACCGGAUAAUAUUUCGAACCGCAUGGUUCGAUAGUGAAAGAUGGCUUUGCUAUCACUUAUAGAUGGACCUGCGCCGUAUUAGCUAGUUGGUAAGGUAACGGCUUACCAAGGCAACGAUACGUAGCCGACCUGAGAGGGUGGUCGGCCACACGGGAACUGAACCGCGGUCCAGACGCCUAAGGGAGGCAGCAGUAGGGAAUCUGCGGCAAUGGGCGAAAGCCUGACGGAGCAACGCCGCGUGAGUGAUGAAGGUCUUCGGAUCGUAAAACUCUGUUAUUAGGGAAGAACAAACGUGUAAGUAACUGUGGACGUCGUGACGGUACCUAAUCAGAAAGCCACGGCUAACUACGUG